GCCCCUAUAGUUGAAACACAACCAAGAGCUUUUCACGCUCUUAAGUUUGAGUUAAAAUCUCAAUAGGAGCU
This is a non-coding RNA of Strongylocentrotus purpuratus (purple sea urchin), 71 nucleotides long. The record is from Rfam. NCBI's taxonomy places the organism in Eukaryota, Metazoa, Echinodermata, Echinoidea, Camarodonta, Strongylocentrotidae.